GAUGAAGAACGCAGCGAAAUGCGAUAAGUAGUGUGAAUUGCAGAAUUCAGUGAAUCAUCGAAUCUUUGAACGCACAUUGCGCCCAUUAGUAUUCUAGUGGGCAUGCCUGUUCGAGCGUCAUUAAGUCCACUUAAGCCCAGCUUAGUGUUGGGAGACUGCUCCAGCGGUGCUACCCUGUAGCUACCCUGCAGCUCCUCAAAGACAGCGGCGGAGUUGUGGUAUCCUCUGAGCUUAGUAACUUGUUCUAGCUUUCGAGUACACCACUUCCCCUGCCGUAAAAACCCUUAAUUUUUAAUGGUUGACCUCGGAUCAGGUAGGAAUACCCGCUGAACUUAAGCAUAUCAAUAAGCGGAGGA
RNAcentral lists this unclassified non-coding RNA (356 nucleotides) under soil metagenome. RNAcentral's name for it is "partial contains 5.8S ribosomal RNA, internal transcribed spacer 2, and large subunit ribosomal RNA". The stretch from base 1 to 120 matches the Rfam family "5.8S ribosomal RNA", at positions 35 to 154 of the family's 154-position model. The record is from RNAcentral.